This 947-nucleotide ribosomal RNA is filed under the name Faucicola osloensis. RNAcentral describes it as "Moraxella osloensis partial 16S ribosomal RNA". The record is from RNAcentral. Lineage: Bacteria; Pseudomonadati; Pseudomonadota; Gammaproteobacteria; Moraxellales; Moraxellaceae.
GGCAGCGAUCUACUAGCCCCAAGAGAUCGAGAUACUGACAUGUGGAUACGCGGUUUAGACUGCGAUCCACGUGAAGAGUGUCGUCCAGAGAGAACCCCACACGCGACAUAGUGUAACACACUCUGUGUUAUACAGGCGUGUGUGACACAUACCAGGGUGUAUUCUAUAAUUCUCGUGUGUUGUGCUAUACCCACGCCCUUUCGUAAACUUUAGCUGUUUAAUAUUAAGUGACAGGGAACCUUGCCUUUCCCCAUCGGGUUUUCCUCCAGUAUCUCUACCCCUUUUCACCGCUACACCUGGAAAUUCUACUUCCCUCUCACAUAUCCUACCACCACCAGUAUCACAUGCAGUUCCCGGGUUAAGCCCGGGGAUUUCACAUGUGACUUAAUGAGCCACCUACACUCGCUUUACGCCCAGUAAUUCAGAUUAACGCUCGCACCCUCUGUAUUACCGCGGCUGCUGGCACAGAGUUAGCCGGUGCUUAUUCUGCAGGUAACGUCUAAUCUAAUGGGUAUAAACCAAUAGCCUCUCCUCCCUGCUUAAAGUGCUUUACAACCAAAAGGCCUUCUUCACACACGCGGCAUGGCUGGAUCACGGUUGCCCCCAUUGUCCAAUAUUCCCCACUGCUGCCUCCCGUAGGAGUCCGGACCGUGUCUCAGUUCCGGUGUGACUGAUCAUCCUCUCAGACCAGUUACAGGAUCGUCGCCUUUGGUAGGGCCUUUUACCCCCACCCAAACUAAGCUUAUUCUUGAAUNCUGAGGGCCUCACUUCCUAAUUACGCCAAAGGAAGCUUUGGCCCCCCCCCCCCUUUUCCCCCCCCUGUUUAGGGGGUCUGUUAUUUGCCGGGUUAUUUUAAAUUUUCCAAAGUUUUUCCCCCCCAAAACCCCGAUUCCCCCCCCCCCUUACACUUAAGGGCAAAAAUUUCCCUUAAAUAUUUGUUUUACCUU